This is a long non-coding RNA of Suricata suricatta (meerkat), 751 nucleotides long. RefSeq lists it as uncharacterized. The transcript has 3 exons. The record is from RefSeq and is a predicted model, not a curated record. NCBI's taxonomy places the organism in Eukaryota, Metazoa, Chordata, Mammalia, Carnivora, Herpestidae.
GGUCCAGCAGUCACACUCCGAGACGAGAGAGUGCGUGCACACAGACCCACACGCGGGUGUGCACAGCGGCGUCACCCAUCAUCGCGGGGACCGGGCGGCAGCCGGGAUGCCCUUGGGUGGCCGGUAGACGAACCACAGUCCAUUGGGCAGCGGGAUGUCACUCAGCCCUGAAAAGAAACGGGACCCUGCUACCGGCCAGGAGCCAGUGUCCGUGGCAGCACAUGGUCCCAGGGCCAAGUCUGCGUUCUGGUGAUGUCUUUCCUGGACUUUCCCACCAGCCGGGUCACGCAGCACACGGGCUGUCGUGUCUGCCCUCCACCACUCACCGGAAGAUUCCUAAAGUCUGGCUGUGGCGUAGUGUCCACGUGAUGGAGCUUUGUUUCCUUUCUCUGUGUCACUAAGACUCCCGGUACAGACCACGCCUCAACGGGCCCAGGCGCACGGCCCCCUCUUGGGUUCCAGCAAAUGUGGCUGCUGAGCACGUUUGAACACAAGGCUCUGUGUGCACAGAGUGGCUCCGCUACCUCUCAGCCGCUGCGUGUGCUCCGGGACCCCGCGUGCUCCUGGCGCUGGCGAGUCCCCGGCUUUUUGGUUCCAGCUGCGCAGACAGGUGUGCCGUGGCUACGUCUCUCUGUGGCAAGCAGCGUCGAGCAUCUUCCCACAUACAUCUACUCUGCUGAACCAUCUUCUUCUUAUUUUUAAUGUUUUAUAUAUUUUUGAGAGACAGCGUGAGCAGGAGAGGGAUAGAGAG